This is a long non-coding RNA of Homarus americanus (American lobster), 368 nucleotides long. RefSeq lists it as uncharacterized. NCBI's taxonomy places the organism in Eukaryota, Metazoa, Arthropoda, Malacostraca, Decapoda, Nephropidae. The record is from RefSeq and is a predicted model, not a curated record. The transcript has 5 exons.
CAUAUAAGGCCUCGACUAACUGGCCUUCGUCCCUUUCCUCACCGACCACUCGCCACUCACUGACUGCAGCUGACAGGCAGGUGACAGCUGGUGUACUUGAAGGCCAAUGGAGAAGUGAGAGAACCUUGAGCAAGACUUAACACCCAGCAUGUUACUUCAGCCUCAUCAGUUAAGCUGGCCAGAAGUAACAUCAUACUGAACCUAAGGAGAAAUAACUUAAAAUGCCAGAACAGGUGACAGCUGACGUACGUGAAUGCCAAUGUAGAGGAAGUGACCGACACCUUGAGCAAGAUGUAACACCCAUCAUGUUACUUCAGCCUUCUUAGGUGGUUGGUGUACAAGAUAGAUGGAUCAGACACAACAAGGUG